GUGCCAGCAGCCGCGGUAAUACGUAGGGGGCAAGCGUUGUCCGGAUUUAUUGGGCGUAAAGAGCGUGUAGGCGGCCAUGUAGGUCCGUUGUGAAAACUCGAGGCUCAACCUCGAGACGCCGAUGGAAACCAUGUGGCUAGAGUCCGGAAGAGGAGAGUGGAAUUCCUGGUGUAGCGGUGAAAUGCGCAGAUAUCAGGAAGAACACCCGUGGCUAAGGCGGCUCUCUAGUACGGUACUGACGCUGAGACGCGAAAGCGUGGGGAGCGAACAGGAUUAGAUACCCUGGUAGUCC
Molecule: ribosomal RNA, 292 nt
Filed under: uncultured bacterium
Lineage: Bacteria
Description: partial 16S ribosomal RNA
Rfam family: Bacterial small subunit ribosomal RNA
Source: RNAcentral